CGCCUUGCCAGCCCGCUCAGAAACUCAAAUGAAUUGACGGGGGCCCGCACAAGCGGUGGAGCAUGUGGUUUAAUUCGAUGAUACGCGAGGAACCUUACCUGGGCUCAAAUGUAUGUUGACGUAUUCUGAAAGGGAUACUUCUUCGGACAAUAUACAAGGUGCUGCAUGGUUGUCGUCAGCUCGUGCCGUGGGGUGUCGGGUUAAGUCCCAUAACGAGCGCAACCCCUAUCAUUAGUUGCCAUCAGGUCAAGCUGGGGACUCUAAUGAAACUGCCUACGCAAGUAGUGAGGAAGGUGGGGAUGACGUCAAAUCAGCACGGCCCUUACGGCCUGGGCUACACACGUGCUACAAUGGUCGGUACAAAGGGUUGCCAAGCCGCGAGGUGGAGCUAAUCCCAUAAAACCGAUCGUAGUCCGGAUCGCAGUCUGCAACUCGACUGCGUGAAGUCGGAAUCGCUAGUAAUCGUGAACCAGAAUGUCACGGUGAAUACGUUCCCGGGCCUU
Molecule: ribosomal RNA, 503 nt
Filed under: uncultured Sphingobacteriales bacterium
Lineage: Bacteria; Pseudomonadati; Bacteroidota; Sphingobacteriia; Sphingobacteriales
Description: bacterial SSU rRNA
Rfam family: Bacterial small subunit ribosomal RNA
Source: RNAcentral